AAUCAUACCGUGCAUGCGGAAGAAACUUUGGGCCAUCUGGCAAGGCACCCUAUCUUAUGACGUGCAGACACAAAAGAUUGUAGAGAAGUUUGUGAACUGCACUAUUUCCACGACUCCCAACGCUAAGAUAGCAUGGCAUCUCCUAAAGGUGGCAUUGCGUGUGGCAGGUUAGAUGUCAGACCUGACCGUGGAAGGUAAAGGUGGCGGCACAAUCAUUUCGAUCAUGCUAAGGAAACCAGU
This is a non-coding RNA of Dermacentor andersoni, 240 nucleotides long. Lineage: Eukaryota; Metazoa; Arthropoda; Arachnida; Ixodida; Ixodidae. The record is from RefSeq and is a predicted model, not a curated record.